Molecule: long non-coding RNA, 718 nt
Filed under: Homo sapiens (human)
Lineage: Eukaryota; Metazoa; Chordata; Mammalia; Primates; Hominidae
Description: HSALNT0176034
Source: RNAcentral
CCUUGGGUCCCGAGACAUCGAUGUCGGCCUUGGGCAGGCUCACAUCCACAUCUGGACCUUCUCCUUUGAAGCCAGGCAUGCUGAAUUUGGGCAUUUUCACCUUGGGCAUCUUCAGGUGCCAGUCUGGGCCAUGAACAUCCACAUCUGGGGCAUCAAUGUCCACUUUGGGGCCCUUGAUGUCAACUUCAGGGGCCUUUAGAUCACCUUCCAUCUUAGGCAGAGAAACAUCCACAUCUCCUUUCACCUUAGGGCCUUUCAGAUGCAAAUCAAAGUCAGGCAUGGAGAUCUUGGGGGCUUUGAUGUUCAUCUCUGGCAUCUUGAAUUUAGGGCCCUUCAGUUUCGCAUCUGGACCUUCAAUAUUCACAUCUGGAACAUCAACGUCCACCUUGGGUCCUGAGACGUCAAGGUCAGCCUUGGGCAGGUUCACAUCCACAUCUGGGCCCUCUCCUUUGAAGCCAGGCAUGCUGAACUUGGGCAUUUUCACCUUGGGCAUCUUCAGGUGCCAAUCUGGGCCAUGAACAUCCACAUCUGGAGCACUAAUGUCAACUUUGGGCCCUUUAAUGUCAACAUCUGGCACUUUCAUUUCACCUUCUACCUCAGGCAAGGACACAUCCACAUCUCCCUUCAAUUUUGGCCCCUUAAGAUUCAGGUCCACAUCAGGCAUGGAGAUCUUGGGGGCCUUGAAGUGCAUCUCAGGCAUCUUAAACUUGGGACCCUU